RNAcentral lists this transfer RNA (84 nucleotides) under Candidatus Woesearchaeota archaeon. Its description in RNAcentral is "tRNA-Ser". It matches the Rfam family "tRNA". Rfam says of the family: Transfer RNA (tRNA) molecules are approximately 80 nucleotides in length. Their secondary structure includes four short double-helical elements and three loops (D, anti-codon, and T loops). Further hydrogen bonds mediate the characteristic L-shaped molecular structure. tRNAs have two regions of fundamental functional importance: the anti-codon, which is responsible for specific mRNA codon recognition, and the 3' end, to which the tRNAs corresponding amino acid is attached (by aminoacyl-tRNA synthetases). tRNAs cope with the degeneracy of the genetic code in two manners: having more than one tRNA (with a specific anti-codon) for a particular amino acid; and 'wobble' base-pairing, i.e. permitting non-standard base-pairing at the 3rd anti-codon position. RNAcentral also lists the same sequence under 1 other name. Lineage: Archaea; Nanobdellati; Candidatus Woesearchaeota. The record is from RNAcentral.
GCCGCCGUGGCACAACCUGGUACUGCGCAGCCCUGGAAAGGCUGUUUCCGAAAGGAUAUCCCGGUUCAAAUCCGGGCGGCGGCG